This 440-nucleotide ribosomal RNA is filed under the name uncultured bacterium. RNAcentral's name for it is "partial 16S ribosomal RNA". It matches the Rfam family "Bacterial small subunit ribosomal RNA", at positions 338 to 795 of the family's 1533-position model. The record is from RNAcentral.
CCUACGGGUGGCAGCAGUAGGGAAUAUUGCUCAAUGGGGGAAACCCUGAAGCAGCAACGCCGCGUGGAGGAUGAAGGUUUUCGGAUUGUAAACUCCUUUUGUUAGAGAAGAUAAUGACGGUAUCUAUCCAAUAAUCCCCGGCUAACUCCGUGCCAGCAGCCGCGGUAAUACGGAGGGUGCAAGCGUUACUCGGAAUCACUGGGCGUAAAGAGCGCGUAGGCGGGAUAGCAAGUCAGAUGUGAAAUCCUAUGGCUUAACCAGAGAACUGCAGUUGAAACUGUUAGUCUAGAGUAUGGGAGAGGUAGGUGGAAUUCUUGGUGUAGCGGUGAAAUGCGUAGAGAUCAAGAGGAAUACUGAUUGCGAAGGCGGCCUGCUAGAACAAAACUGACGCUGAUGCGCGAAAGCGUGGGGAGCAAACAGGAUUAGAUACCCUAGUAGUC